RNAcentral lists this ribosomal RNA (313 nucleotides) under uncultured bacterium. RNAcentral describes it as "bacterial SSU rRNA". It matches the Rfam family "Bacterial small subunit ribosomal RNA", at positions 28 to 336 of the family's 1533-position model. The record is from RNAcentral.
GAUGAACGCUGGCGGCGUGCUUAACACAUGCAAGUCGAGCGAUGAAGUUUCCUUCGGGAAAUGGAUUAGCGGCGGACGGGUGAGUAACACGUGGGUAACCUGCCUCAUAGAGGGGAAUAGCCUUUCGAAAGGAAGAUUAAUACCGCAUAUGGUAGCUUUACCGCAUGGUAGUGCUAUUAAAGGAGCAAUCCGCUAUGAGAUGGACCCGCGUCGCAUUAGCUAGUUGGUGAGGUAACGGCGUCACCAAGGCGACGAUGCGUAGCCGACCUGAGAGGGUCGAUCGGCCACAUUGGGACUGAGACACGGCCCAGAC